Molecule: ribosomal RNA, 497 nt
Filed under: uncultured bacterium
Lineage: Bacteria
Description: partial 16S ribosomal RNA
Rfam family: Bacterial small subunit ribosomal RNA
Source: RNAcentral
GAUGAACGCUGGCGUCGUGCCUAAUACAUGCAAGUCGAGCGAACGGACCGGAAUUUUGUUUCUCUGAUGUUAGCGGCGGACGGGUGAGUAACACGUGGAUCACCUACCUAUACGAUUGGGAUAACUUCGGGAAACCGGAGCUAAUCCCGGAUAAUAUUUUGAACCGCAUGGUUCAAAUGUGCAACACGGUCUUGCUGUCACAUAUAGAUGGAUCCGCGCUGCAUUAGCUAGUUGGUAAGGUCACGGCUUACCAAGGCAACGAUGCAUAGCCGACCUGAGAGGCUGAUCGGCCACAGUGGAACUGAGACUCGGUCCAUACUCCGACGGGAGGCAGCAGUAGGGGAUGUUCCGCAGUGGGCGAAAGCCUGACGGACCAACGCCGCGUGAGUGAUGAAGGUCUGCGGAUCGUAAAACUCUGUUAUUAGGGAAGAACAUAUGUGUAAGUAACUGUGCACAUCUUGACGGUACCUAAUCAGAAAGCCACGACUAACUACGUG